This 502-nucleotide ribosomal RNA is filed under the name uncultured bacterium. RNAcentral describes it as "partial 16S ribosomal RNA". It matches the Rfam family "Bacterial small subunit ribosomal RNA", at positions 28 to 523 of the family's 1533-position model. The record is from RNAcentral.
GAUGAACGCUAGCGGCAGGCCUAACACAUGCAAGUCGAGGGGCAGCACAGAAACAGCAAUGUUUUGGUGGCGACCGGCGGACGGGUGCGUAACGCGUAUGCAACCUACCUUUAACAGGGGGAUAACGGAGAGAACUUUCCACUAAUACCCCAUAACAUCGAUCAAGGCAUCUUGAUUGAUUGAAAACUCCGGUGGUUAAAGAUGGGAAUGCGUUGUAUUAGGUAGUUGGUGAGGUAAUGGCUCACCAAGCCUACGAUACAUAGGGGGACUGAGAGGUUAGCCCCCCACACUGGUACUGAGACACGGACCAGACUCCUACGGGAGGCAGCAGUGAGGAAUAUUGGUCAAUGGGGGCAACCCUGAACCAGCCAUGCCGCGUGCAGGAAGACGGCUCUAUGAGUUGUAAACUGCUUUUAAACAGGGAUAAAGCACAGUAUGUAUACUGUGUUGAAGGUACUGUAAGAAUAAGGAUCGGCUAACUCCGUGCCAGCCGCCGCGGUAA